This 470-nucleotide ribosomal RNA is filed under the name uncultured bacterium. Its description in RNAcentral is "bacterial SSU rRNA". It matches the Rfam family "Bacterial small subunit ribosomal RNA", at positions 1 to 507 of the family's 1533-position model. The record is from RNAcentral.
GUACGAGUUUGAUCAUGGCUCAGAGCGAACGCUAGCGGCGGGCUUAACACAUGCAAGUCGAGCGGAGAGCUUCGGCUCUCAGCGGCGAACGGGUGAGUAACACGUAGGUCACGUACCCUUUGAUGGGGAAUAACCUAGGGAAACCUGGGCUAAUACCGCAUAUGUCCUUCGGGAUGAAAGCCUUCGGGCGUCAGAGGAUCGGCCUGCGGCCCAUUAUUUAAUCCUAGUUGGUAGGGUAAUGGCCUACCAAGGGUACGAUGGGUAGCUGGUCUGAGAGGAUGAUCAGCCACACUGGAACUGAGACACGGUUCAGACUCCUACGGGAGGCAGCAGUGGGGAAUAUUGGACAAUGGGCGAAAGCCUGAUCCAGCCACGCCGCGUGGGUGAUGAAGGCCUUCGGGUUGUAAAGCCCUGUCGGGAGGGACGAAUCAAUGACGGUACCUCCCAAGAAAGCACCGGCUAACUCCGUG